GCCUUUCUCUGACUAGUUUGUGAGCGGUGGUGUCUGCAUAAUGCUUGAUACUUAGCUGCAUGCUUUCUUUUUAACGUGACCUAGGGAUGGCAUGGGGAUUUGAUGGCGGGCUGUUAGGUAGCCAGGCGGUAUCAAGAAGUGCCAUUCAAGGCGAAACAACAGAAUGAUGAAUUAAGAGAGCACUUCUCACUUGGGUGACACUGAAUAGAUUAACUAACACCAGUAACUUAAGCUUGCCUUUUCUCAUCUCUAAAACAGUCACGUACAUGUUAAGAUUGGUAAAGGUUUGAUUUUGCCAUUAGCCACCCGCCACUGCACCUGACCACUUCUCUGUUGGCUGGUGCAUUCCAGUGGUGAGCUGAAAGCAAACCCCAGCUUAGGAAACAGGGUCAUUCUUCAUGUGGGUGACUCUGUGCCGAAAGUAUGGGAACAACCAGGAAGUG
Long non-coding RNA from Myotis brandtii (Brandt's bat), 443 nucleotides. RefSeq lists it as uncharacterized. The record is from RefSeq and is a predicted model, not a curated record. NCBI's taxonomy places the organism in Eukaryota, Metazoa, Chordata, Mammalia, Chiroptera, Vespertilionidae. The transcript is spliced from 2 exons.